This is a long non-coding RNA of Mytilus trossulus (common blue mussel), 900 nucleotides long. RefSeq lists it as uncharacterized. Lineage: Eukaryota; Metazoa; Mollusca; Bivalvia; Mytilida; Mytilidae. The record is from RefSeq and is a predicted model, not a curated record. The transcript has 2 exons.
UUUUGAUGCAGUGGUAUAUUUUGAAAGGAAUAACAAUACCACAAUGUACAAUUGUUAUGGGUGAAUUAGCUGAAAUUAUGACCAAGGAUUUACUCAAUAAUGGAUGGUGAAAAUAAGAACAAGGAUAUUCUCAAUAAUAGAUGACAACAUACUGUUAAAAACAGAUAGGCCAAAACAAAGCUAACUCAAGUUUUCAACUGGUGCAAGCUGGGCUAACCGUGAUUUACUCUUCUGACCGGUGACAGGUUCCAUCGUUCUCCCACCUCCAACAACCGGAGAUUUUGGUUUAUCCGACAUAUUUUUCACUUUUUGUCCAUCAAAUGAAAAUGUCCUAUAUUUUAUUCAGUCGUUUCGAUAACUUGUAACUUUCAUGGAAAUAUAUUAACACAUGAGACCAAUAUAAACAUUACUUCUCAAUCGAAUCGUGUCGAAUCGCUUCACUGGACGCCAUCUUGUUUACAGGUAACCAUGUGUACCUUGAGGGCGCCCUUUACAAACAAGAGCACAAGUGACAACGAUUUCUGAUUUUGCAGGUGCCCGUUUGUGUGGAUUUUGAAAAUUAUGCUUUCACGGAUGUGGAAAAAAAAAAUUAGAUCUGAAACCAAGAAAAGAAAAGGAUCAGAAUCGACCCGAAAUCAUUAGAAUAAAAAAUGUUUUCGCCUUUAAUUUGUUUCUCUCAAAUUUUCUAUUUGGAAAUUGAAAAAGAAUAUAUAUAAAUAUUUUCAGGAUACAAAUUAAAAAAAAAAUGAUUAGAAAAAUAGCGAAAAUUAAGAUAAAGAAAAGGAUAGCACCACCUUCUUUAUUAUUAUAAGGCAUAGCAAACCAGAUACUUUCAAAUAUAACUGUAUUUACCAUGUUUAUGUCUCUGUGCAAAUAAAAAUUUAAAGUGGUCAAUUAUUA